RNAcentral lists this small RNA (129 nucleotides) under Marmota monax (woodchuck). Lineage: Eukaryota; Metazoa; Chordata; Mammalia; Rodentia; Sciuridae. The record is from RNAcentral.
GCUGGGCACAGUGGUGCAUGCCUGUAAUCCCAGCAACAGCUCAGGAGGCUGAGGCAGGAGGAUGAGACUUCAAAGCCAUGCUCAGAAAUGUAGCAAGGCCCUAAGCAGCUUAGCAAGACCCUGUCUCUA